Molecule: small RNA, 776 nt
Filed under: Arabidopsis thaliana (thale cress)
Lineage: Eukaryota; Viridiplantae; Streptophyta; Magnoliopsida; Brassicales; Brassicaceae
Description: ATSL081680
Source: RNAcentral
AGCAAAAAAGCUUUGGCUACUGAAGCUUUGAUAAUUUUUAUUUGUAAGAAUUAUUAAGUUAUUGUUAGAAAAGAAGAAGAAGAGGAAGAUUUGUGUGUAUUAUUACAAUGAAUGAGAGGUCCUUUAUAUAGGAGUACAAGGUUAGGGUUUCACAAAGCAUCUACAGGAUAAUUCCAGAAUAUUCUAUUCUAGAAGGAUCUAGAAGAUGGGCCUUAUAAUGGGCAUCCAUCUAAUAUUCAUAACACUCCCCCUGAUGACCAUUAUAGUAUCAUAACUCGUAAAGUAUUUGAAAUGUUGCCUCAUUAAAAACUUUACCAGGAAAACCCAAUGGGAAAAACCAUGGUUAAGGGAAAAAGAGUGCAACAUACAAUUACUCGCCCUUAUGAGUAUAUUCGUCGAGAUCUUUGAGACGGCGUAAUCCGAUACGAUAGACUAACUUCUUGAAAGUAGCAAUAGGUAGCGCCUUGGUGAAUAAGUCAGCCAGAUUAUCAUUCGAACGGAUCUGUAGAACUCGUACAUCGCCGCUCUUUUGUAGAUCGUGUGUGUAGAAGAAUUUUGGUAGGAUGUGCUUUGUUCUAUCGCCUUUGAUGUAUCCGUCUUUGAGUUGUGCGAUGCAUGCUGCAUUGUCUUCAUACAUAAUUGUUGGAGUCUUUUUCCCUGCAUACAUACCACAAUCUUCUUGUAUAUGGUGAACUACGGAUCUUAGCCAUACACACUCGCGGCUAGCUUCAUGAAUUGCUAAAAUCUCUGCAUGAUUGGAAGAUGUGGCUGCAAUA